UCUCUUCUCUCCUUCCUCAGCGGGUCAAUGGAGCCCCGUGGGACCUUUCUUUCCUCAGGUGAAUGACUGACUUUUGGGGGUCCCCUCGCCUCCCCCAAAGAAAAGCUCUCUUUCGACACCCACCCUUUCUCUCCUCUUGCUCUGAGGGGAAAAGGAGGCGGCAGCCAUUUCGUGGCAGCCCCCCAAGGUUCUCUGAGCUGUGUCCUUGUUUUAUUCAACUGAAGCUCAUGCCGAGGGUCCAGAAUUGAUCUACCGCAGCAAAACUCCUUCAUCUAAAUGUAAAUGCUACCUCCUUGCCUCAGGCUGGUGCUGCUUCAGUAUCACCACCACCUCCCCAGGAAAUGGAUGCAAGACAGGCUCGGAAGCAACAGAUUCACUGCUGAAGAC
Molecule: non-coding RNA, 387 nt
Organism: Pogona vitticeps (central bearded dragon)
Lineage: Eukaryota; Metazoa; Chordata; Lepidosauria; Squamata; Agamidae
Source: RefSeq, a predicted model, not a curated record